This 465-nucleotide ribosomal RNA is filed under the name uncultured bacterium. RNAcentral's name for it is "partial 16S ribosomal RNA". It matches the Rfam family "Bacterial small subunit ribosomal RNA", at positions 338 to 795 of the family's 1533-position model. The record is from RNAcentral.
CCUACGGGAGGCAGCAGUGGGGAAUAUUGCACAAUGGGCGCAAGCCUGAUGCAGCCAUGCCGCGUGUAUGAAGAAGGCCUUCGGGUUGUUAAGUUCUUUCAGCGGGGAGGUAGGGAGUAUAGCUAAUACCUUUGCUCAUUUACGUUACCCGCAGAAGAAGCACCGUCUAACUCCGUGCCAGCAGCCGCGGGAAUACGGAGGGUGCAAGCGUUAAUCGGAAUUACUGUGCGUAAAGCGCACGCAGGCGGUUUGUGAAGUCAGAUGUGAAAUCCCCGGGCUCAACCUGGGAACCGCAUCUGAUACUGGCCAGCUUGAGUCUGGUAGAGGAGGGGAGAAUUCCGGGUGUAGCGGUGAAAUGCGUAGAGAUCAGGAGGAAUACCGGUGGCGAAGGCGGCCCCCUGGACGAAGACUGACGCUCAGGUGCGAAAGCGUGGGGAGCAAACAGGAUUAGAUACCCGUGUAGUC